This is a long non-coding RNA of Mus musculus (house mouse), 2406 nucleotides long. RefSeq annotates it as predicted gene, 36745. NCBI's taxonomy places the organism in Eukaryota, Metazoa, Chordata, Mammalia, Rodentia, Muridae. The transcript has 5 exons. The record is from RefSeq and is a predicted model, not a curated record.
GUUGGUCGUGUGGCGGGGGGUGGGGAUGGGGUGGGAUCACUUCACUCACAGUCUCAGAGGGCUCGUGCACGUAUGACUCUGGUACAGGGCCGCUGGUGAAGCAGUACUUCUCGAGGGUAGGAACCUGUGGAGGAGGCAGCUCGAAUUCCCCGAACCUCCCCAAACAGCACAGCCAGAUUGGAUGCAGUGUGUGCUGCCUUUGCCAGCUCAGGAACCAUUUUGGAGAGAGAAAAGAAGACCCUAAACACUUUUGUUAUUUUUGAUCACUCAGAAUUUUUUUUUUUUUUUUUUUGCCUCACUGUUGGUAAAGCUGAGAAAAAAAGAUCACAUUUUCCUUAGUGAGAAAAGCUGCAGUUUCUUCCAGUAUGCCUUUGAAGAGAGGGGCCCACCGCGGUUCCUGUCCUUGGAGAUGGUGUAUUGUUGAAGCGGGAGCUGUGACAAAGGCAGUGAGCCUUUGAGGUGCGUUCCAGUGGAGAAAUGGAUGUGAGGUCCGCACGCUGGCCACACAUCUCCAGCAAGCAGCAACCUCAAAUGCUAAUUGCGCAUGUUAAACAGAAGCAUGGGCUCCCAGCAGCCUCCCGGCUCCUUUUCGUAGAUGUUAUACGGAGAUGUUUAAGCCCUAGGACUCUUCCUUUCUUCCCCCUGGCGAAAGCUCUUCCUGUUGCCCACUUGUGUUCCCAUUAAGGGCCUGAGAUUGCGGUCCUCUGCUUGCAAAAAGCAGGCAAGUGCCAUGGGGGGGGGGGGGAUACUGGAGCCUUAGCGGUGAUCCCAGAAGUUGAGCGGUGUCAUGGCAAUUUUGCAAACUUAAAAACAGUAUGGAAGGCAAAACCAACCCACCAACCAACCAACCAACCAACCAACCAACCAACCAACCAACCAAGGGAGCCACAUGAAGUGCUGAGUCAUAGAGAAGAGCUGUGUGUGGGGUAGGCUGCCACCUUCCCUGGAGAGUGGAUAGCCCUGGGCUUCGGCAGUUACGGAGAUGAAGGGACCCUUCCUGCACAGUACGGGAUUCCAUGGCACUUUACAGCUUCGACUCAGAAGCCACAGUGACAUGCUUCAAGGGCCUUUCUUCUACUUGUGCCUCUCAGUGCCUCCAAAUGUGCCUUGUGCCAACACCCAAGCUGCUUACCUGGCUAUGAUCAGGUUGUACGCGUCAUUAAUCCCAGCACUUAGGAAGCAAGAGUCAAGCAGAGCUCUGUAAGGUGGAGGUUAGCCUGGUCUAAAUAGUGAGAUCCAGGCCAGCCAGGGCUACAGUGAGAGACUCUGCCUCAAAACCAAAACAAAACAGACAAACCAAAAUGACAACAAUCUCCACAUUGAGACAUGAGUCUGUCAUAUUAAGGAUCCUUCACAAACCCUAUUUUUUUCCUCCACAGUGCUGGGAACCCAGCAUCCUGAUUGUAAGAGGUACAUUUCAGCCAGUCAGUCAUCUCUUCAAAUGCCUCCAGUGGAAUUUCCAUGACUUUCAGAGUUUUUGGAGCUGCAGUCUGUACUCCAUGGCCUUGGGGUGCGAGUGAGUGGCUUUCCCUCACUCAGGCUCAGAACCACUACAGUAGCAGGACGCCACCCUAAGGUGCUGGUUGGGUUGAUGGAAGCAAAGGCUUGGCAGCAAGAAUAAAAAAGCUUGAGGCUUACGGAAGAUUUAGAACUUUACUCAAUUCAAGAAGCUUCAGAAAUGGAAAUGUGGACAUAAUAUCAGAAACCAUGGAAAUUAAAAAAAAAAAAACAAACCAUCAGGUCCUACUACAAAAGUUUUAUACCCAGCUAAACUGGAAACUCUGGAUGAAAGGAAGCUUCAAUCUAUGAUCUGGGGAUCCCUCGGUGCCCCAUGGAGCGCCCUGGAGGACCCAACACGGGAAGAAGAAGGAGGAACACUGGGCAGAACUCAGAAGCCCUGGCUUGCUGGAGCGUCUGUUAACUUUAUAUAAUGGGACCAAUCUGCAAUAUCGUUUUUAAAACUUUUGAUGCAGUGUCUUCUGUAGCCCAGGCUGGUCUUGAACUUGCAACAGAGUUGACAAUCACCUUGAACUUCUGAUCUUCUUACUCUCACCUCCUGCAUGCUCCAAUUAUGGUUAGGCACCGUCACAAACGGUCUCUGAAGUGCAGGGGAUUGAACCCAGGACUUCACGUACUCUGCCCACCAAGCCACAUGCCGGGCCCUCUGCACCAUCACUUGGAGGAUUCUGAUGCUCAGAUAUUUCCGCACACUCUUCAGUUGAGUUCUCCUCUCUUAGGUCAAAGGUAACCUUAGCACAAAGAGAUCGGUGGGGGCAGAGGUGGGGCUUGAGCUCAGGUCAUAUGUAAAGUCUUCCUUCCUUCCUUCCUUCCUUCCUCCCUCCCUCCCUCCUUCUCUCUCUCUCUCUCUUCCUCCCUCCCUCUCUUCUUCCUUCCUUCCUUCCUCCC